GUCUCACCGGAUGUGAGAACAAGACAAGGGGCAUAGUGCCGCCGAUGCCGAUGCCUCCUAACACAACUGUCUCCCUGCUCGACGCUUGCUCCAGGCGCCUCCCGCCCAGCGGCCUAGGCCCGGCCGGUUGCCGCCGCGCUUCCAACAACCUGCCAAUCCACAAGGCGCCUGCCGCCCCUACCCGGCAACCCCGACUUGCUGGUAGGCGGCGAUGCCUUAUCAGCUCAACUCCUUGGCUCGCCGGUGCCGUCACAACAUUAAGCAAGGAGGCAGAAGGCCAGGAGCAGCCGGCCCGAGCAUAUCAAGACCAGCCCCUUUAGGACCUUGAUCAACGACCAGAGAUCACUGAGUUUUUCGGUAUCUCUUAUUAUUCUCAAAGAGCAAUUUUACGGGACUUGAGGAGAUAUCAUGAGGAUCAAGAUCCAUAACUACAAUUGAAGAGCUAAGGACAGUAUAAUAUUAUGCUUAGAGGAAGCUAACCUAUAACAAGGUAUUUGUAUUUAUGUAACAAACCACAAUUAAAUUUGUAUUGUAUCUUUUUAUCAUGCAUUAAGGAAUAUCCUGUGUCGCUGCUA
Oryza sativa Japonica Group (Japanese rice) is the source of this 575-nucleotide non-coding RNA. Lineage: Eukaryota; Viridiplantae; Streptophyta; Magnoliopsida; Poales; Poaceae. The record is from RefSeq and is a predicted model, not a curated record.